GGAAAAGGAUGUGGGAAUUCGAAGACAACUAGGAUGUUGGCUCAGAAGCAGCCAUUCAUUCAAAGAGUGCGUAACAGCUCACUAGUCGAGAGGUCCUGCGCCGAAAAUGUCCGGGGCUAAAACAUGCCACCGAAGCUUGGGAAUGACAUAGUCAUUGGUAGAGGAGCAUUCUUAACGCGAAGAAGCAGUACCGGAAGGAGCUGUGGAGUGCUGAGAAGAGAGAAUGCCGGAAUGAGUAGCGAGAACAAGGUGAGAAUCCUUGUGGCCGAAUAUCCAAGGUCUCCAGGGUAAAGCUGAUCUGCCCUGGGUAAGUCGGGACCUAAGGUGAGGCUGAAAAGCGUAGCCGAUGGACAACAGGUUGAUAUUCCUGUACCGCAUGGUAACAGAACUGUGGGGACACGGGAGGGAAACAUGGGCCGGAAAUGGAAAGUCCGGUACAAACGGGGUAGUCGCACAGCAGGCAAAUCCGCUGUGCAUGAGACGAAGCCGUGAUGUGGAGCGAACUAAAGUAGUGAAGCAUGUGCCCCCUCCUGUCGAGAAAAGCCGCUAUUGUUUGCCAUGCGCCCGUACCGUAAACCGACACAGGUGGAUGAGGAGAGAAUCCUAAGGCCGGCGGGAGAAGCAUUGUUAAGGAACUCGGCAAAAUGACCCCGUAACUUCGGGAGAAGGGGUGCCAACGAGAGUUGGCCGCAGAGAAUAGGCUCAAGCAACUGUUUAGCAAAAACACAGGUCUAUGCAAAACCGUAAGGUGAGGUAUAUGGGCUGACGCCUGCCCGGUGCUGGAAGGUUAAGAGGAGAGGUUAGCGGUAACGCGAAGCUUUGAAUUUAAGCCCCAGUAAACGGCGGCCGUAACUAUAACGGUCCUAAGGUAGCGAAAUUCCUUGUCGGGUAAGUUCCGACCCGCACGAAAGGCGUAAUGAUUUGAGCGCUGUCUCGACAAUGCAUCCGGUGAAAUUGAAGUACCAGUGAAGAUGCUGGUUACCCGCGCCAGGACGGAAAGACCCCAUGGAGCUUUACUCCAGCCUGAUACUGGGAUUCGGUAUUGCAUGUACAGGAUAGGUGGGAGGCUAAGAACUCAUGGCGCCAGCCGUGAGGGAGCCGAUGUUGGGAUACCACCCCUGCAGUACUGGGUUUCUAACCUGCGCCCGUGACCCGGGCGGGGGACAAUGUCAGGCGGGGAGUUUGACUGGGGCGGUCGCCUCCGAAAGGGUAUCGGAGGCGCUCAAAGGUUCCCUCAGAAUGGUUGGAAACCAUUCGAAGAGUGCAAAGGCAGAAGGGAGCUUGACUGCGACACCGACGGGUGGAGCAGGUACGAAAGUAGGACUUAGUGAUCCGGUGGUAUAAAGUGGGAUUGCCAUCGCUCAACGGAUAAAAGCUACCCUGGGGAUAACAGGCUUAUCACUCCCAAGAGUUCACAUCGACGGAGUGGUUUGGCACCUCGAUGUCGGCUCAUCGCAUCCUGGGGCUGUAGUAGGUCCCAAGGGUUGGGCUGUUCGCCCAUUAAAGCGGUACGCGAGCUGGGUUCAGAACGU
This 1532-nucleotide ribosomal RNA is filed under the name human gut metagenome. Its description in RNAcentral is "bacterial LSU rRNA". It matches the Rfam family "Bacterial large subunit ribosomal RNA", at positions 1065 to 2619 of the family's 2925-position model. The record is from RNAcentral.